AUUGAACGCUGGCGGCAUGCCUUACACAUGCAAGUCGAACGGCAGCACGGGUGCUUGCACCUGGUGGCGAGUGGCGAACGGGUGAGUAAUACAUCGGAACAUGUCCUGUAGUGGGGGAUAGCCCGGCGAAAGCCGGAUUAAUACCGCAUACGAUCUACGGAUGACAGCGGGGGACCUUCGGGCCUCGCGCUAUAGGGUUGGCCGAUGGCUGAUUAGCUAGUUGGUGGGGUAAAGGCCUACCAAGGCGACGAUCAGUAGCUGGUCUGAGAGGACGACCGGCCACACUGGGACUGAGACACGGCCCAGACUCCUACGGGAGGCAGCAGUGGGGAAUUUUGGGCAAUGGGCGAAAGCCUGAUCCAGCAAUGCCGCGUGUGUGAAGAAGGCCUUCGGGUUGUAAAGCACUUUUGUCCGGAAAGAAAUCCUUGGUCCUAAUACGGUCGGGGGAUGACGGUACCGGAAGAAUAAGCACCGGCUAACUACGUG
This 486-nucleotide ribosomal RNA is filed under the name uncultured bacterium. Its description in RNAcentral is "partial 16S ribosomal RNA". It matches the Rfam family "Bacterial small subunit ribosomal RNA", at positions 30 to 507 of the family's 1533-position model. The record is from RNAcentral.